Molecule: ribosomal RNA, 505 nt
Filed under: uncultured bacterium
Lineage: Bacteria
Description: partial 16S ribosomal RNA
Rfam family: Bacterial small subunit ribosomal RNA
Source: RNAcentral
GACGAACGCUGGCGGCGUGCCUAAUACAUGCAAGUAGAACGCACAGUUUAUACCGUAGCUUGCUACACCAUAGACUGUGAGUUGCGAACGGGUGAGUAACGCGUAGGUAACCUGCCUGGUAGCGGGGGAUAACUAUUGGAAACGAUAGCUAAUACCGCAUAAUAUUGAUUAUUGCAUGAUAAUUGAUUGAAAGAUGCUAUUGCAUCACUACCAGAUGGACCUGCGUUGUAUUAGCUAGUAGGUGAGGUAACGGCUCACCUAGGCGACGAUACAUAGCCGACCUGGGAGGGUGAUCGGCCACACUGGGAAUGAGACACGGCCCAGACUCCUACGGGAGGCAGCAGUAGGGAAUCUUCGGCAAUGGACGAAAGUCUGACCGAGCAACGCCGCGUGAGUGAAGAAGGUUUUCGGAUCGUAAAGCUCUGUUGUAAGAGAAGAACGGGUGUGAGAGUGGAAAGUUCACACUGUGACGGUAUCUUACCAGAAAGGGACGGCUAACUACGUG